Non-coding RNA from Silurus meridionalis, 72 nucleotides. The record is from the annotation of a RefSeq genome assembly. Lineage: Eukaryota; Metazoa; Chordata; Actinopteri; Siluriformes; Siluridae.
UCCCUGGUGGUCUAGUGGUUAGGAUGCGGCACUCUUACUGCUGCGGCCCAGGUUCGAUCCCCGGUUAGGGAA